Long non-coding RNA from Mesoplodon densirostris (Blainville's beaked whale), 1708 nucleotides. RefSeq lists it as uncharacterized. Lineage: Eukaryota; Metazoa; Chordata; Mammalia; Artiodactyla; Ziphiidae. The record is from RefSeq and is a predicted model, not a curated record. The transcript is spliced from 3 exons.
GCCCUGAGCGCUGAGCUGGGGCGCCCGCGAGGGACGGGACAGGGGCGCCCCUCGUCCCGCUCCUGGAUGCGGAUCCCGCGGGCCCGCCUCUGCCCGGGGGACACUCACAGGCGAAGCCCUAGUCUCCCGCGCGGCUCUUCCACUUCCCGAGGCUGGGAGGCAUGAGCGGAUGGAGCUGGAGUCCGCGGGCUAAGGAAGCCAGAGCUAUCAUGUCAUGAGGAACUCAAGCAGCCCUGUGGAAAGACUCACAUGAUGAGGAACUGAGGCCUCCUGCCAACAGCCAUAUGAGUGUGCCAUAUUGGAAGUGGAUCCUGCAGCCCCAGUAAAGCCUUCAGGUGACUGUAGCUUGGGUGAUGCUGACUGAAACCUCAUGAGAGAUCCUGAGCAGAAUCACCCAGAUAAGCCACUCUCAGAUGACCCACAGAGACUAUGAGAUGAUAAAUGUUUAUUGUUUUAAUAUGUAACAGAGAGGCUGGAGAUUCAGUUUAACCCCUCCUCCAGGGAAGAAGAAGAAAUACCAGAAAUAGAUUGCCUGAGGACAGGCAGUUGCCUUCUUGGACGGGGAGGAGAUAAAUGAGAAGAUCUCUGGCCCUGGAGACCAUCUACCCUGUCACCAACCUGUGAGCCAAAACCUACACUUAGUCAAGUUCAUUGUUUUCACAUCUUUGUUUUUGUCUUUGCUUAGUGCUUAAAUUAAACAUUCCUAUGGAUUUCUGUAACCAUGUCUGGCUGAAAUGAGAGGGAAUAACGAGGUCCCAGCUGGGACGGUAAUUUGAGAACUAAGCACGCCAGUCUUGGAACCUGGAGGUGGUGGCUGGGCUGAGGGAGCUUGAAGGUGAGGGUGGAACUUGUAGAACCUGGUUCAGCUUCUAAUUUUGCCAUCCAUUCACUAUGAUCUCUAGCAGGGUACUAUUGCUGAGCUUAUUUUCUUGUGUGUUAACAGUGGAAAAUAAUGUUUGUCCUACCUAUUUCAUAGGGACACUGUAAGAAUGCAAUGAGAUUUUGUAUGUGAAAGCAUCCCCUUACCUACUUCACUAGUGAGAACUACUAAAGACCAUGCCAUCUGAACCAAAUUGCAAAGCAAGGGUACAGACAAAUGCUGGUCAUGAAAUAUCUUCCACUUGUGCCUGUCCUUUUUAAGGACUGCUACACUCCAUCCUUGGUUUAUUAAUAACAUGUUUUGACUCACUUAGACCUCUAGGCCACCACCACAUACGUUUCACUGUUAAAAUUCCUUUAUUUCUCUCCUAGGCUCUGUUUGUGUCCAUAGCACCUAACAUUGUGCUCAGAGCAGGAACCGUGUAAAUACACGUGGAUUAAUAGAUGAAAAUAUUCUGGUUAUAGAGAGCUCAUCCAUGACUUUAAAUUCCCCUCUAACAAACAUUUCUAUUUCUUUAAGCUGGUGUGUAAAGUCAUUUGUAAGAAAUUCUUAUUGGUGAGGUCAGUGUGUCUCAUAAUAAUUAGAGAUUAUUGAUACACUAGUAGUCAGUUUGUGUUUAUACUAGACUUAUUUCAAAGAACAUUAUAACGUUUAUGAAUCAAGCUGGGACAGAGAAGCAACUGCAGACAAAGUGACUCUUUUGUGGCCUCUGACAACUGGUGGCUUUAAACAAUGAAGACCAUUGUAUAAGAACUCCCUCCAGGGGUUAUUGUGAGGAUUAAUUAGAUUAAAAUCUACAAAAUGCUUUGACUUUUUCCCAGAAUUCUU